This 433-nucleotide ribosomal RNA is filed under the name uncultured bacterium. RNAcentral describes it as "partial 16S ribosomal RNA". It matches the Rfam family "Bacterial small subunit ribosomal RNA", at positions 29 to 507 of the family's 1533-position model. The record is from RNAcentral.
AACGAACGCUGGCGGCAUGCCUAACACAUGCAAGUCGAACGAGACCUUCGGGUCUAGUGGCGCACGGGUGCGUAACGCGUGGGAAUCUGCCCUUGGGUUCGGAAUAACAGUUGGAAACGACUGCUAAUACCGGAUGAUGACGUAAGUCCAAAGAUUUAUCGCCCAGGGAUGAGCCCGCGUAGGAUUAGCUAGUUGGUGGGGUAAAGUCCUACCAAGGCGACGAUCCUUAGCUGGUCUGAGAGGAUGAUCAGCCACACUGGGACUGAGACACGGCCCAGACUCCUACGGGAGGCAGCAGUGGGGAAUAUUGGACAAUGGGCGAAAGCCUGAUCCAGCAAUGCCGCGUGAGUGAUGAAGGCCUUAGGGUUGUAAAGCUCUUUUACCCGGGAUGAUAAUGACAGUACCGGGAGAAUAAGCCCCGGCUAACUCCGUG